UAACACAUGCAAGUCGAGCGGGACAUAUUGACGGAACGGAAGUUUCGGAUGGAAGGGAAGAUGAUGUGUUCUAGCGGCGGACGGGUGAGUAACGCGUGAGCAACCUGUCCUUCACAGGGGGAUAACACAGCGAAAGUUGUACUAAUACCGCAUGAGACCACGGCGGGACAUCCCGCAGGGGUCAAAGGAGCAAUCCGGUGAAGGGUGGGCUCGCGUCCGAUUAGAUAGUUGGUGAGGUAACGGCCCACCAAGUCGACGAUCGGUAGCCGACCUGAGAGGGUGAUCGGCCACAUUGGGACUGAGACACGGCCCAAACUCCUACGGGAGGCAGCAGUGGGGAAUAUUGCACAAUGGGGGGAACCCUGAUGCCAGCAACGCCGCGUGAAGGAAGACGGUUUUCGGAUUGUAAACUUCUGUUCUUAGUGACGAAGAAGUGACGGUAGCUAAGGAGCAAGCCACGGCUAACUACGUGCCAGCCGCUGC
Molecule: ribosomal RNA, 483 nt
Filed under: uncultured bacterium
Lineage: Bacteria
Description: bacterial SSU rRNA
Rfam family: Bacterial small subunit ribosomal RNA
Source: RNAcentral